AGCAGCCGCGGUAAUUCCAGCUCCAAUAGCGUAUAUUAAAGUUGUUGCAGUUAAAAAGCUCGUAGUUGAAUUUCGGGAUCAAUACGUCGGUCGUGCUUCGGUACGUACUGGCGUCAUUGAUUUCUCCCUUCUGACGAACCAUGAUGUCAUUAACUUGGUGUCAUGGGAAAUCAGGACUGUUACUUUGAAAAAAUUAGAGUGUUUAAAGCAGGCUCACGCUUGAAUACAUUAGCAUGGAAUAAUGAAAUAGGACGUUCGAUCCUAUUUUGUUGGUUUCUAGGAUUGACGUAAUGAUUAAUAGGGAUAGUUGGGGGCAUUAGUAUUCAAUUGUCAGAGGUGAAAUUCUUGGAUUUAUUGAAGACUAACUACUGCGAAAGCAUUUGCCAAGGAUGUUUUCAUUAAUCAAGAACGAAAGUUAGGGGAUCGAAGACGAUCAGAUACCGUCGUAGUCUUAACCAUAAACUAUGCCGACUAGGGAUCGGAUGAUGUUAAUUUUUUAAUGACUCAUUCGGCGCCUUAC
Molecule: ribosomal RNA, 520 nt
Filed under: uncultured Glomus
Lineage: Eukaryota; Fungi; Glomeromycota; Glomeromycetes; Glomerales; Glomeraceae
Description: SSU rRNA
Rfam family: Eukaryotic small subunit ribosomal RNA
Source: RNAcentral